UGGCAGGAAGCACGGCCGGAAGAGAUGGCGUCGUUAAGAAAGGAGUCAGAAGAGUCAGUGAGGUGGAGUUGCAAAGAGUGAGGGGAAUCGGCGACUCGAACGAUCCAGUUACCGAGUUUAAGGAGGGUGAAGACGAGCGAUCUUCCUAGAAACCCUCGCCCUCCAAGAACCGCGCAGGUCUUAGGGUUUAAAUCCCCAAAUG
Molecule: unclassified non-coding RNA, 202 nt
Filed under: Hevea brasiliensis (rubber tree)
Lineage: Eukaryota; Viridiplantae; Streptophyta; Magnoliopsida; Malpighiales; Euphorbiaceae
Source: RNAcentral